UCCCAGAGGGCUCAGUGGUAAAGAAUCUGCCUGCCAAGCAGGAGAUGCAGGUUUCAUCCCUGGGUUGGGAA
This 71-nucleotide transfer RNA is filed under the name Bos taurus (domestic cattle). It matches the Rfam family "tRNA". From Rfam's summary of the family: Transfer RNA (tRNA) molecules are approximately 80 nucleotides in length. Their secondary structure includes four short double-helical elements and three loops (D, anti-codon, and T loops). Further hydrogen bonds mediate the characteristic L-shaped molecular structure. tRNAs have two regions of fundamental functional importance: the anti-codon, which is responsible for specific mRNA codon recognition, and the 3' end, to which the tRNAs corresponding amino acid is attached (by aminoacyl-tRNA synthetases). tRNAs cope with the degeneracy of the genetic code in two manners: having more than one tRNA (with a specific anti-codon) for a particular amino acid; and 'wobble' base-pairing, i.e. permitting non-standard base-pairing at the 3rd anti-codon position. Lineage: Eukaryota; Metazoa; Chordata; Mammalia; Artiodactyla; Bovidae. RNAcentral also lists the same sequence under 5 other names. The record is from Rfam by way of RNAcentral.